Molecule: long non-coding RNA, 1355 nt
Organism: Grammomys surdaster
Lineage: Eukaryota; Metazoa; Chordata; Mammalia; Rodentia; Muridae
Exons: 3
Source: RefSeq, a predicted model, not a curated record
GCGACGCAGGGACGCGGCUUCCCUGGUGCUACCCCCGCCCCUCCCCGCAGAGGCCGUUUCCCUCCCGACCCCGCACUCACCCGCAUGUGUCUGGGUCGGGGCCAGGGCAGCCGCCAGCAGCAGGAGCAGCGUGUGGGGCACUGUGGCCCCCAUCUGGGAUCCGUAAUUGAGUCCUGCGGUUGCGUGGACUUUAUAACCAGUGCCCUCGGCGGCGCUGAUUGGUUGUCCGGGAUCGCCCCACCCAAUGGGGGGUGAGACCUGCCAGCACGCCAUCAGUGUCCGGGCAGAAGGACCUGACCCAGGUUAGGAGCAGAAGUGAAACUGGGGAGAUGGGGAAUCCCCAGCCCUGGGCUUCCCCACCCCUGACCUCACCACCUGGAGACUAAGACUUUGCCUGAACCCUGUGCUGUGGACAGAGCGCUGUUUGUCUUGGUGUCUCCGAGUUCUGACCCAGGAGCUGUCAGGACACCAGGAGAGACCCGCAGCCAGACUCUCUGUGUCUUCUCCUCCACUCUUCCUCUUCCUUCUUUUAUUCAGAAGUCAGACUCCGGAAUCGAAGAAAACCCACUUCCGGGAAUGCAAUGUUAACAUAAGCGGUUGGGGAUGCAGUGGAGAGAUGCUUCUCCUUAAAGAAGAGUCUCUGGGUUGCAAGCCUCACACGGACCCCACAGAGAUCAGGCUCUGUUCACAUGCAGUAGGCAGCUUACACUGCCAAGCCUGAGUGCAGGACAAUCAUCUGUAAAGAGGAGACUUUGCCUCUUCCCUCAGGAUCUGCCUUCUCUACCUAAGGUUUGACUCAGACUCCUCCUGUUUCUUUUCAGAUGGAGCAUAUCCAGCCCACCACCCACCAGAGCUGGAGGGAAACAAAGGAUAUGGGAUGACGUCACUCUGCCAUCAGCCUAAGUCCAUGGAAGUGGCAAGAAGCUGCAGCAAGCCAAAGCACACCACCAGAAGUUUUUUUUUUGGUGCAUUUCACCCUGUGGAAUCCUGACAAAUGCAGCCCAACUGUGUUAUGUAAGGAAGACCGAUACACAAAUGUUGUUCGCAAAGAAUACUUCAUCACGGGUCCUCUCACAUGAUCGAUUGAGUAGAAAAUGUCUUUACCUAGAUGUUUCAACUAAAUGCUCCUUCCUGAAUCUCUCUCAGCCUUUCACUAGAGUCUACUUCGGAGAAAUGUUCCCUCAUGUAUUUGCAGCAUAAAACACCAUCCAACUGCACUGAUUUUCUGAAGAAUCCUUAAGUUUCCUGUUCAGAAACUGAACAUUUGAUAAUGGGCCAUCAAGUUACAAUGUGACCUGAGCUGCCCAUCAUGAGUUGGAUGUCAUCUGAACCACCAAGUCAUAAACUAGGACAUG